GGCCUGCUCACACAUGCAAGUCGAACGAUGAAGCCCAGCUUGCUGGGUGGAUUAGUGGCGAACGGGUGAGUAACACGUGAGUAACCUGCCAUGGGCUUCGGGAUAACUCCGGGAAACCGGGGCUAAUACCGGAUAUGAGCUACCUUCGCAUGGGGGUGGUUGGAAAGUUUUUCGGUCAGGGAUGGGCUCGCGGCCUAUCAGCUUGUUGGUGGGGUGAUGGCCUACCGAGGCGACGACGGGUAGCCGGCCUGAGAGGGCGACCGGCCACACUGGGACUAAGACACGACUCCGACUUCUACGGGAGGCAGCAGUCGAGAAUAUUGCACAAUGGGCGCAAGCCUGAUGCAGCGACGCCGCGUGAGGGAUGAAGGCCUUCGGGUUGUAAACCUCUUUCAGCAGGGAAGAAGCGCAAGUGACGGUACCCCCAGAAGAAGCGCCGGCUAACUACGUGCCAGCAGCCGCGGUAAUACGUAGGGCGCAAACGUUGUCCAAAAUUAUUGGGCGUAAAAAGCUCGGGGGAGGUCUGUCGCGUCUGGUGUGAAAACUCGAGGCUCAACCUCCAACUUGCAUCGAGUACGGGCAGACUAGAGUGCGGUAGGGGAGACUGGAAUUCCUGGUGUAGCGGCGGAAUCCCCAGAUAUCGGGAAAAACACCGAUGGCGAAGGCAGGUCCCUGGGCCGCAACUGACGCUGAGGAGCGAAAGCAUAGGGAGCGAAAAGGGUUAGAUGCCCUGGUAGUCCAUGCCGUAAACGUUGGGCACUAGGUGUGGGGCUCGUCCCAAGAGUUCCGUGCCGCAGCAAACGCAUUAAGUGCCCCCCCCGGGGAGUACGGCCGCAAGGCUAAAACUCAAAGGAAUUGACGGGGGCCCGCACAAGCGGCGGAGCAUGCGGAUUAAUUCGAUGCAACGCGAAGAACCUUACCAAGGCUUGACAUGCACGGGAAGCCACCAGAGAUGGUGGUCUCUUUGGACACUCGUGCACAGGUGGUGCAUGGUUGUCGUCAGCUCGUGUCGUGAGAUGUUGGGUUAAGUCCCGCAACGAGCGCAACCCCCACCCCAUGUUGCCAGCGGGUUAUGCCGGGGACUCAUGGGAGACUGCCGGGGUCAACUCGGAGGAAGGUGGGGAUGAC
Molecule: ribosomal RNA, 1128 nt
Filed under: Cellulosimicrobium cellulans
Lineage: Bacteria; Bacillati; Actinomycetota; Actinomycetes; Micrococcales; Promicromonosporaceae
Description: bacterial SSU rRNA
Rfam family: Bacterial small subunit ribosomal RNA
Source: RNAcentral